RNAcentral lists this ribosomal RNA (660 nucleotides) under Entoloma caeruleoflavum. Its description in RNAcentral is "eukaryotic LSU rRNA". The stretch from base 237 to 390 matches the Rfam family "5.8S ribosomal RNA". The record is from RNAcentral. Lineage: Eukaryota; Fungi; Basidiomycota; Agaricomycetes; Agaricales; Entolomataceae.
GAUACUUGGUUAGGUUGUUGCUGGUCCUUAGGGGCAUGUGCACACCUAGCGCUGUUUUUCUAAAUCACCUGUGCACCUUUUGUAGAUUUUGGAUAACUUUCGAGGUCAACUCGUUUUGAGGUUUGCUGUGCUUUAAAUGCUCUGGCUAAUCUUGCAAUUCCAGUCUAUGUUUUCAUAUACCCCAAUACAAUGUAACAGAAUGUAAUUAGUUGGCCCUUGUGCCUCUAAACAAAUACAACUUUCAACAACGGAUCUCUUGGCUCUCGCAUCGAUGAAGAACGCAGCGAAAUGCGAUAAGUAAUGUGAAUUGCAGAAUUCAGUGAAUCAUCGAAUCUUUGAACGCACCUUGCGCUCCUUGGUAUUCCGAGGAGCAUGCCUGUUUGAGUGUCAUGAAAUUCUCAACCUUUGUGACUUUCUAUGUGUUAGUCAUUUUGGCUUGGAUUUGGAAGUUUACCGGCUUUAUAAAAGUCGGCUCUUCUUAAAUACAUUAGCAAAAAUCUUUGCUGAAUUAUCCUUGGUGUGAUAAAUAUCUAUGCCACUGAGAAUCGGCUUUAUCACAGAUUUUGCUUCUAACAGUCCUUUUGGACCAAUAAUGUACAAAUUUGACCUCAAAUCAGGUAGGACUACCCGCUGAACUUAAGCAUAUCAAUAAGCGGAGGA